CCUUCUCAAAAGAUAAUUUAUUAUUUUUUGGUUGUGGGCGAUACUCAGGGUUAGCUUGAAAUUGGAGACUGUUUCAGUCUUUUUUAAUUCAACACUUAGCUUCUUUGGAGACGCUGUUCUCGCUGUGAUGUAUUUAUGGAUUUAUUCGUUUUACUUUACAAGGGAAAUGGUAACGUACCUUAGGCAAAGGGUUGCUUUUAAUAUUCAUCAA
This 211-nucleotide unclassified non-coding RNA is filed under the name uncultured Hanseniaspora. RNAcentral's name for it is "sequence contains ITS2". Lineage: Eukaryota; Fungi; Ascomycota; Saccharomycetes; Saccharomycodales; Saccharomycodaceae. The record is from RNAcentral.